Molecule: ribosomal RNA, 434 nt
Filed under: Crepidodera pluta
Lineage: Eukaryota; Metazoa; Arthropoda; Insecta; Coleoptera; Chrysomelidae
Description: partial 16S ribosomal RNA
Source: RNAcentral
GCUUUUUGUUUAUAAUUUAAGGUCUAACCUGCCCACUGAAAUUUUUAAAUGGCCGCAGUAUUUUGACUGUGCUAAGGUAGCAUAAUCAUUAGUUUUUUAAUUGAAAGCUAGAAUGAAAGGUUGAAUGAAAAAAUUACUGUCUCUAAUUAAUUUUAUUAGAAUUUUAUUUUUAAGUAAAAAAGCUUAAAUUUUUUUAAAAGACGAGAAGACCCUAUAGAGUUUUAUUUAAAAUUUGAUAUUUUAUAUUAAGUAUUAAGUUUAAAUAUUAAGUUUUUUAUUUAGUUGGGGUGAUUAAAAAAUUUAAUAAACUUUUUUUUUAUUUUAAUAUUAAUUUAUAAAUUUAUGAUCCAAUUUUUUUGAUUAUAAGAAUAAAUUACCUUAGGGAUAACAGCGUAAUUUUAUUAAAGAGUUCUAAUCGAAAAUAAAGUUUGCGA